GCAACGCGAAGAACCUUACCAGGCCUUGACAUGCAGAGAACUUCCAGAGAUGGAUUGGUGCCUUCGGGAACGUCUGACACAGGUGCUGCAUGGCUGUCGUCAGCUCGUGUCGUGAGAUGUUGGGUUAAGUCCCGUAACGAGCGCAACCCUUGUCCUUAGUUACCAGCACGUUAUGGUGGGCACUCUAAGGAGACUGCCGGUGACAAACCGGAGGAAGGUGGGGAUGACGUCAAGUCAUCUAUGGCCCUUACGGCCUUGGGCUACACACGUGCUACAAUGGUCGGUACAAAGGGUUGCCAAGCCGCGAGGUGGAGCUAAUCCCAUAAAACCGAUCGUAGUCCGGAUCGCAGUCUGCAACUCGACUGCGUGAAGUCGGAAUCGCUAGUAAUCGUGAAUCAGAAUGUCACGGUGAAUACGUUCCCGGGCCUU
This 429-nucleotide ribosomal RNA is filed under the name uncultured Pseudomonas sp. RNAcentral describes it as "bacterial SSU rRNA". It matches the Rfam family "Bacterial small subunit ribosomal RNA", at positions 956 to 1382 of the family's 1533-position model. Lineage: Bacteria; Pseudomonadati; Pseudomonadota; Gammaproteobacteria; Pseudomonadales; Pseudomonadaceae. The record is from RNAcentral.